UACGAAGGGGGCUAGCGUUGCUCGGAAUCACUGGGCGUAAAGGGUGCGUAGGCGGGUCUUUAAGUCAGAGGUGAAAUCCUGGAGCUCAACUCCAGAACUGCCUUUGAUACUGAAGAUCUUGAGUUCGGGAGAGGUGAGUGGAACUGCGAGUGUAGAGGUGAAAUUCGUAGAUAUUCGGAAGAACACCAGUGGCGAAGGCGGCUCACUGGACUGGUAUUGACGCUGAGGUGCGAAAGCGUGGGGAGCAAACAGG
Molecule: ribosomal RNA, 253 nt
Filed under: uncultured bacterium
Lineage: Bacteria
Description: partial 16S ribosomal RNA
Rfam family: Bacterial small subunit ribosomal RNA
Source: RNAcentral